This is a long non-coding RNA of Octopus bimaculoides (California two-spot octopus), 2040 nucleotides long. Lineage: Eukaryota; Metazoa; Mollusca; Cephalopoda; Octopoda; Octopodidae. The record is from RefSeq and is a predicted model, not a curated record.
UUGACAGUGUUUUUCUUUCUUUUUGUCAAUAUAAACCAAAACAAAAUGUUGGAUAUGACAGCUGUAAAUGAUAUGUAAACAAAUUCUACAACAUAAGAAUUUCCCAAAAACAUUUAUUAUGCUCAAGACAUUAUUUUUCUGCUUAUUCAAAUAGCCACAGUUGAGAAGUUUCACCAUGUGAUGCCAUGAAUCUGUUCAUCAUUAGCUUUGGAGGUCCCUGAAUUCUAUGUUGUGUGUCUUUACCAAUAACUUCAAUACAGUUGAAUGGUCUACAUCUUAUAUCAGAGUGUAGAAGUCGCCAAAAUACAUCAGAUAUGGUCUGGUGUUCAGUACGAUAGCAGUGGCCUGAAAAGCCUACCCUGCAUUGAGCAAGAAUCACAGAGAUGGGUGGAAUGUAUCCAUAAAUUUCAUCUUUAGUCUUGUGUUCAGACCAUGAGAUGCUGAGACCACAUAGGAAACCAGAUUCUCUUGUGUUUUCUGAAUCCAUUUACCCUACUAACCCAGAUAUCACUAAUCCCUAGUCCAUGUUGAGUGAUACAUUUUUCAUUGGAGAAAAAAUUAGCAUUCACAUCCAACUGUCAAUUAUAUUUCCAACACAUUGUUAAUUGAGGGUGAUUUGGCUGCUAUAUGCAAAUGAAAUGAAAAGGUGUAAGCAAGCUGACAGCCUAAGUCCAGGUGAAAAAGGAAAACAAAAAAGUAGAGAGAUUCUUGCUGGAAGCAAAUCUUGAAUUAUUGUUAUCAAGUAUGAUUAACUUUUUACACUGAUUUGACAACAGUGUUUCAUUCACAACAGCUGUUGGAUUAGUAAAUAUUGUUUAAUCCCAUAUUAAAAGAAAUUGCUUACAACCUUAAGGAUAUCAGAUUUUCUUUUUAGAGUAAUAUAUGUAAUUAUGGGAGAGAUGAAAGCAACGAAUAAAUGACAGAACAGAAGAAGGAGAAAGGAAGAAUAGAAAGAUGAAAAGGCAUAUGAAAGCAACAAAAGGAAAGAUAGAAAUAUAAAAAUAAAAAAAACAUAGGCAAACAACAGAGGAAAAGUGAAAUAAAGAGAAAAAAAAAGGAAUAGAAAUAACUUAUCAAAUAACCAGUAAGAUGCUAAGGUAAAUUCAGUACAUUAUAACUGCUUCCUUUCAGAGUUUUUGUGUCUAACCAAAAGAUAUUUCAACAUUGAGUUUAGGAUGAUACUAGCUGCUGGACCCAGCAUUGCUCAUGUUUUCCAUGUUGAAGUUAAGCCCACCUCUGACCUUGUAUUGAAAUCUUCUACAUUCCCCGUGCCAACUGUUACCCAUUGAGAUGUUAUAUCUGGUUCGACAGGAUGAGUAGAUGUGUGGCAGGUGGUGGGAAAAUGGUCAGAGCAGGUAACGGAAUUUUGUUGACGGAGCGGAGUUCUUGCAGCCAACAACGUGUUCAGUGGUGCAGAGGACACAAAUGUAAAUAAGCAUUUCUUUAGAGACUAUUCUAUCGAUUUUGUUGAAAUUUUACAUGUGAAAAAAUGCAAAAGCUGCAGGAAAAAUAACAUCAUUAUGGGAAUUUCCAUUCAAAUGCCCAACUGAGCUCACAACAAUCGAUGCCAACUGAGCAUUAUUGAGUUUUUGAAAAAUUCCAGCCUUAUUUGAACUUCAGGGCAUGUGAUCUACCCAUGUGCCAAAAAUCAUUAAAAUCGGUUGGGCAGUGUGGGAGGAGUUAGAGUAACCUCAAACACACACAUACACACACACCAUUACACAUUUAUGUAUAUAGAUAGAGCUAGUUAAAAAGUAUGAGGUAGAUUAGAUUUGGAACAUUACAUUUCCAGUGAUUAAAUGUUGCUACAUUAGAGUUGUAUCUAUGUGUUGUUACUAGCAGAAAAUUAGUAACCAAGACAUUGCAAAUAAAUCAAUAUUGAUUCUACAAGAAGUAUUCACAUUCAAAUAUUAUGCAGCCCCUUAGUUGAGCAGAUCUAUUAUCAAAGGUGUUCCACCCAUGUCAAUCUUGUCCUUUCAUAUUUCAGGAACUAAAUUGCUAAUCGAAUGUGUCUGUCAUUUGUUAAGACAGUAUAGUGUG